CUGUGCCAUGCCAUUCUGAGUCAUGCAGUGCCAUUCCAUGCCAUUCUGAGCCAGGGUAAGCUGUGCCCUGCCAUUCUGAGCCACGGUAAGCCAUGCCAUGCUGUUCUGAGCCAUGGUGAGCAGUGCCAUGCCAUUCUGAGCCAUGGUAAGCUGUGCCAUGCCAUUCUGAGCCAUGCGGUGCCAUUCCAUGCCAUGCCUCAGGGCAGAGAGAUGAGGAGGGGGGAUGUGAAACGAAGACCCACAUGGGGAUCUGGGGGUCACCACCACCUCAAGGUGACUGCGUGGGUAGGCACUGCGGUCCCUUUGCCCUCCCUCCCCACGCUGACCCCGGGCACACAGCGGAUAUUUCAUCUUAUUUGACUCCAGAUCAGUUUGUUGAAGCAUAGAAAUUUCAAACCGAGGCGCUGGGUGCCCGAGCUUGGAGCAAUUAAAGGUAACAUUUUCCCAAGCAGAGCGAAGCAGCCGAGCGCAUCCCGGCACCACGGAGAUGCGGGGGAGACUAAAGAGGAAAUCAAAACAACAACAAUAAAUAAACUUUUCUUAAGGCUUAAAGAAAAAUGAGACAGCGGAUGGGCUGAGCUGCCCCCCCACCCCCAUCCCCCACCUCCUCCUGUCCUGCCGGGACCUGCAGAUGGGACAUAUUUAAUAUGCAAAUUGACACAGCUCUGGCCGGCCGCCAGCGCCGGGUGUCGGUGGUGCCUCGUGUGCACCCAAAGGGACAGCUGCUUCCUGCCUCUGCCACCCGAACCCAGCGGCCAGCGAGCAAAGCAUUGGCGGGACGGAAACCUAUGGGGGUGACCCCCCCUUUCCACCCCCCCCACCCCAAUUGGUGGCCCUCAUGGCUGCAUGGCAGCAGCAGCUGGGCUGGGGGGUGGGGGGGGGUGAACCCCAACCCCAUCGCUGCAGCUCCCCAGCAUGCAAUCUGAUGGGCAUUGCGUUGGGGGGCAGACUGUGUGCCCCCCACCCUCUCCGUGCCAGCUUUGCGUGUUGUCAGCGUUUCCUUAUGCUGCCGCUCGUGAGGGGCCUCAUUAACAUAUCUAAUUGCCGCCUCUCUAUAGUGAUUUGUGCUGAUUGCUUAUUGGCAUUAGUUACUUUGGAAGGAAAAUUACCCUAAACAUCAAAUAAACCCCGGCAUUAGCCGUAUGGAAAGGGACACCAUGGAGAUAUGGGGAUGGCACCCCCAACCCCCCCCCUUAAGUGUGCUUUGGGGUAACAUACCCACCUCGGUGCCACCGCCAUGGGGAACCCCAUGUCCCGGUUUUGGGACCCACCCCCCCCAUUGUAACCCAUUAUGGUGGUGGCACCCGUGGGGAGGGGAGGCUCUGGGUUGCGAUGGGGGGGGAAAUGGGGGGGGGAACAACCCAGAGUCAAAGCGGUUCCAGUUGGUGACAGCUGCGGCGGUGCCGGCUCCGGUUACGGUGACAUCAGCUCUACCUUCCCACCUGGCGCGGGGGGCUCGGGCCCCGUCCCAUGGGGGUCCCAUGGGGGUGGGGGGGGAAGGGAGGUGGGGGGGACGGAGUGACAGCUGAGCGGCUCUCGGGCUCCAGACAUCCAGACAUGCACCCGGCGCUGCCGGAGCUUCCAGGGGGACCCUCUUGCAGCAGUGGGGACAGCGGUGGCAGCGGAGCUGAGGUGGGCAGAACGGGGGGCACGGGGUGCCCUGGUGCCAUGGUGAGGGGAUCCCAUCCCUGGGAGGGAAGCACUUCUCCCCCCCUCCUUCCCCCCCCCCCUCCCCAAACCAAGGGGUUGAAGGGAUGGACUCAGUGUUGUCCCUUAGGAUGGCUGCGGGGCCAUGCAGUCACCUCCGGGAUGGGCGCAAAGCUGCAGAGCUUUCCCUCCCCUUUCCCCCCCCCUCCCCGUGCCUCAUUGCUGGGGGGACGCUGAAGGGGGUGGGGAAGGAUGGGGUGAGCAUCAGCCCCCCCUGAGGCUGUGGGUGCGGCUGGGUGGUGCCUGGCGCUGGGCAUGCUCUCAAAUGGGGAAACUGAGGCACAGCACGGGGACAACUUGCCCACGGUUGCUCAGCAGCUCUGGGUCGCAGCCAUCCCCCAUUCACCAUCUCCCACCACCAUCCCAUCCAUCUUCUACCAGGGACCCUCACCCCAAUAUGAGGGGCACCCCCUUCUCGCUGCCUCAGUUUCCCCGCAGCUCCCGACGGCCGUCCCCGCUCCUCUCCCCCUUCUCCUCCUCCUCCUCCUCCUCCUCCAUCAAUGGGGCCCUGUUCUCCACCGUGCCCCCCGCUCGCCGCCAGCCCCCUCCUCCUCCCCGGCCCCUCUCAGCCAUUGCCUUUUCUUCACCCUCACAAUCGGAGGCAUUUAUGCAGCCGGAGGCUCGGGUUACCCCGACCGCGCUGGGCACCCGCUCACUGUCACCACUGAGCGCCGGGGGGACGGUGACACCGGAGCCCCCCAGCUGGGUUACAGCCACUGGGGCCAAUGGCAUGGAGUUCCCGAGGGUCCCCGCGCCCCAAAUCCCACCGGGAGAGCGGCUGCGUGGCAACGAU
Molecule: long non-coding RNA, 2500 nt
Filed under: Gallus gallus (chicken)
Lineage: Eukaryota; Metazoa; Chordata; Aves; Galliformes; Phasianidae
Description: lncRNA (ENSGALG00010028711.1)
Source: RNAcentral